This 1455-nucleotide ribosomal RNA is filed under the name uncultured Bordetella sp. Its description in RNAcentral is "partial 16S-23S ribosomal RNA intergenic spacer". It matches the Rfam family "Bacterial small subunit ribosomal RNA". Lineage: Bacteria; Pseudomonadati; Pseudomonadota; Betaproteobacteria; Burkholderiales; Alcaligenaceae. The record is from RNAcentral.
AGUUUGAUUAUGGCUCAGAUUGAACGCUGGCGGGAUGCUUUACACAUGCAAGUCGAACGGCAGUACGGACUUCCGGUCUGUGGCGAGUAUGAACGUGAGUAAUGUAUCGGAACGUGCCUGGGUAGCGGUGAUAACUAUGCGAAAGCGUAGCUAAUACCGCAUACGCCCUUCGGGGGAAAGCGGGGACCUUUCGGCCCGCACUAUUAGAGCGGCCGAUAUCGGAUUAUUAGUUGGUGGGGUAACGGCUCACUAAGGCGACGAUCCGUAGCUGGUUUGAGAGGACGACCAGCCACAUCAGACUGGAGAUGACGGCCCAGACUCCUACGGGAGGCAGCAGUGGGAAUUUUGGACAAUGGGGAAACCCUGAUCCAGCCAUCCCGCGUGUGCGAUGAAGGCUCUCGGGUUAAAAAGCACCUUUGGCAGGAAAGAAACGGCACGGGGAUAAUACCCCGUGCAACUGACGGUACCUGCAGAAUAAGCACCGGCUAACUAUGCCAGCAGCCGCGGUAAUUACAGGUGCGUAAGCGUUAAUCGGAAUUACUGGGCGUAAAAGCGGUGCGAGCGGUUCGGAAAGAAAGAUGAAAUCCAGAGCUAGAACUUUGAACUGCAUUUUUAACCUCACUGAGCUAGAGUGUGUCAGAGGGAGGUGGAAUUCCAUGUAGCAGUGAAAUGCGUAGAUAUGUGAGGAACACCUGAUGGCGAAGGCAGCUCUCCCGGAUGUAACACUGACGCUCAUGCACGAAAGUGGGGAGAAACAGGAUUAGAUACUCCGGUAGUCCACGCCCUAAACGAUGUCAACUAGCUGUUGGGGCCUUCGGGCCUUGGUAGCAGCUAACGGCGUAGUUAAUCACCGGGGAGUACGGUCGCAAGAUUAAAACUCAAAAGGAAUUGACGGGACCCGCACAAGCAGUAUGAUGGAUUAAUUCGAUGCAACGCGAAAACCUUACCUACCCUGACAUGUCUGAAUCCCGAAGAGAUUUUGGGGAGUGCUCGCAAGAGAACCGGAACACAGGUGCUGCAUGGCUGCUGUCAGCUCGUGUCGAGAUGUUGGGUUAAGUCCUGCAACGAGCGCAACCCUGUCAUUAGUUGCUACGAAAGGGCAUCAAUGAGACUGCCGGUGACAAACCGGAGGAAGGUGGGAUGACGUCAAGUCCUCAUGGCCCCGGUGGAAGCCUACACGUCAUACAAUGGUCGGGACAGAGGGUCGCCAACCCGCGGAGGGGGAGCUAAUCCCAGAAACCCGAUCGUAGUCCGAUCGCAGUCUGCAACUCGACUGCGUGAAGUCGGAUCGCUAGUAAUCGCGGAUCAGCAUGUCGCGGUGAAUACGUUCCCGGGUCUUGUACACACCGCCCGUCACACCAGGAGUGGGUUUUACUGAAGUAGUUAGCCUAACCGUAAGGAGGGCAGGAUUACCACGGUAGGAUUCAUGACUGGGGAGAAGUCGUAACAAGGUAG